GGGAUCGCUGAACUGUAGAGAAUGGUUUCCCCUUCGGGGGCAACGGUGACAGGUGGUGCAUGGUUGUCGUCAGCUCGUGUCGUGAGAUGUUGGGUUAAGUCCCGCAACGAGCGCAACCCUUGAUCUUAGUUGCCAUCAUUUAGUUGGGCACUCUAAGGUGACUGCCGGUGACAAACCGGAGGAAGGUGGGGAUGACGUCAAAUCAUCAUGCCCCUUAUGACCUGGGCUACACACGUGCUACAAUGGACGAUACAAACGGUUGCCAACUCGCGAGAGGGAGCUAAUCCGAUAAAGUCGUUCUCAGUUCGGAUUGUAGGCUGCAACUCGCCUACAUGAAGCCGGAAUCGCUAGUAAUCGCGGAUCAGCAUGCCGCGGUGAAUACGUUCCCGGGUCUUGUACCACACGCCA
This 408-nucleotide ribosomal RNA is filed under the name bacterium. Its description in RNAcentral is "bacterial SSU rRNA". It matches the Rfam family "Bacterial small subunit ribosomal RNA", at positions 983 to 1386 of the family's 1533-position model. The record is from RNAcentral.